AUAAUAUUAUUCGAUACGCUAAUAAUUUAAUUUAAUAAUUUACUUUAAUUAAAACAUCAAAAUUAUGAUGCGUUUGCAAUGUACUUCUCAUCGCAUUUUUCAAUCAAUUUUUUCUUUAUUACAAUAUAAAGAUAUAAAAAAAAGCAUUAUUCGUAAACGAUUACAUUGUAACGUAUCUUAAAAGGUUACAAGACUAAUGUAUGUUCUUCAAGAUAUAAUACAUACAUUUUAUGUUUUCCAUAAAAAAAUUACCUUUAAUUUUAUAUAGAGAUAAAUGAACAGUAAAACGAAAGUUCAUAGAUAUAUCAUAAUCAUCACUCGUUUGCUGAGCGGUACAGGAAUCUAUAUUUAAAUAUUGUUUACUAAAGAAAAUUUCUACAAAAAUAAAGUUGACCUACCGUAUUAUACAGCUCCUCAAGGCGAGCGCCUGCAUCAUCGCCUGUUCUAAAGCGCCAAGCGGCCACUUUUGGCCGUACACGAAGAUCUCGCUACGAGCAAUAUCCACCCUGUUCCAUAUUAAAGAAAGAGAUAACUGCUCAGCCGGCGACAGUUGCUUCGACUUAAAUAAAGCUGUCAAGAUGGUUUGAUCGAGUUCUUGCGGCCUGUCUUGCGAUAUCCUGAACACAGUGAUCUGCAAAAAUAAUUUUUCUUCAGAGCUCGGAACAGAGCUGACUCGCCUGUUCGGCGGAGACUUGAAAGGUACGUUUGAUCGUCUCUAAAACUUGUUCUUUGACGCCCUCCAGCGGCCCUUCACCCUCACCGGUUUGCCCAUCUCUCCAUCUGUCGAUUAGAUCGGCUGCACGUCCAGAACCAUCGCAAACGACAACCGGUACCGGUGGAUCAUCGGUCACGUAUUCCAGAACUGCACGAAUAGUGUUAGUUCCACCCUCGAUGACCAACGCGACCACAGGGAGACGUACCAUGGCGAGGAGACGCAAUCAUACGACACCUCUCCGCCGCGACCAACCAGCUCAUGGCUCUUGUCCAAAAUUCCCCAAGGGGCAAUACCUAUGCUCACCACACG
Molecule: long non-coding RNA, 1024 nt
Organism: Ooceraea biroi (clonal raider ant)
Lineage: Eukaryota; Metazoa; Arthropoda; Insecta; Hymenoptera; Formicidae
Source: RefSeq, a predicted model, not a curated record